UGGGAACACUAGUCAUAUAAUUUGAUCUGAACAAAUAGAGAACAUAUUUAAGGAAAGCACGAAAAAUUUCGCCAUCCCAAAGAAAAUACAGCCAUAUAAACAUCCAAUGAUGGAACAGCUGAAAUUGUUUUCCAGAUGAAUCCUGAUCACACUAGGUGUGGAUAUCAUGAGGAUUUUCAGUAUGCAAAAGUCCAUCAAAAGGCAA
Molecule: long non-coding RNA, 205 nt
Filed under: Phoenix dactylifera (date palm)
Lineage: Eukaryota; Viridiplantae; Streptophyta; Magnoliopsida; Arecales; Arecaceae
Description: long non-coding RNA (PDAC_LNC016166)
Source: RNAcentral